GCUGGCGGCGUGCUUAACACAUGCAAGUCGAACGGAAACAGAAAGAAGCUUGCUUCUUUGCUGUCGAGUGGCGCACGGGUGAGUAAUGUAUAGUUAAUCUGCCCCUUAGAGAGGGAUAGCCACUGGAAACGGUGAUUAAUACCUCAUACUCCUAUAUACAUAAGGUAUAUAGGGAAAUGUCUUUUCGCUAAGGGAUGAGACUAUAUGGCAUCAGGUAGUUGGUGGGGUAAUGGCCCACCAAGCCAAUGACGCCUAGCUGGUCUGAGAGGAUGAUCAGCCACACUGGUACUGAGACACGGACCAGACUCCUACGGGAGGCAGCAGUGGGGAAUACUGCACAAUGGAGGAAACUCUGAUGCAGCAACGCCGCGUGGAGGAUGACGCAUUUCGGUGUGUAAACUCCUUUUAUAUGGGAAGAUAAUGACGGUACCAUAUGAAUAAGCACCGGCUAACUCCGUGCCAGCAGCCGCGGUAAUACGGAGGGUGCAAGCGUUACUCGGAAUCACUGGGCGUAAAGCGCGCGCAGGCGGCCCGAUAAGUUGGAAGUGAAAUCCUAUGGCUUAACCAUAGAACUGCUUCCAAAACUGUCGGGCUAGAGUCUGGGAGGGGAAGAUGGAAUUAGUUGUGUAAGGGGUAAAAUCCGUAGAGAUAACUAGGAAUACCAAAAGCGAAGGCGAUCUUCUGGAACAGUACUGACGCUGAGGCGCGAAAGCGUGGGGAGCAAACAGGAUUAGAUACCCUGGUGGUCCACGCCCUAAACGAUGAAUGUUAGUCGUCGGGAUGCUAGUCUAUUCGGUGAUGCAGCUAACGCAUUAAACAUUCCGCCUGGGGAGUACGGUCGCAAGAUUAAAACUCAAAGGAAUAGACGGGGACCCGCACAAGUGGUGGAGCAUGUGGUUUAAUUCGAAGAUACGCGAAGAACCUUACCUAGCCUUGACAUAUUUUAGAACACUUUAGAGAUAGAGUGGUGCCUUCGGGAGCUAAUAUACAGGUGCUGCACGGCUGUCGUCAGCUCGUGUCGUGAGAUGUUGGGUUAAGUCCCGCAACGAGCGCAACCCUCGUCACUAGUUACUAACGGUUCGGCCGAGGACUCUAGUGAGACUGCCUUCGUAAGGAGGAGGAAGGUGAGGACGACGUCAAGUCAUCAUGGCCCUUACGGCUAGGGCAACACACGUGCUACAAUGGGCAGGACAAUGAGAAGCGAUACCGCGAGGUGGAGCAAAUCUAUAAACCUGUUCUCAGUUCGGAUUGUAGUCUGCAACUCGACUACAUGAAGCUGGAAUCACUAGUAAUCGUAGAUCAGCUAUGCUACGGUGAAUACGUUCCCGGGUCUUGCACUCACCGCCCGUCACACCAUGGGAGUUGAUUUCACCCGAAGCGGGGAAGCUAA
Molecule: ribosomal RNA, 1390 nt
Filed under: uncultured Campylobacterota bacterium
Lineage: Bacteria; Pseudomonadati; Campylobacterota
Description: uncultured Epsilonproteobacteria bacterium 16S ribosomal RNA
Rfam family: Bacterial small subunit ribosomal RNA
Source: RNAcentral